Poecilia reticulata (guppy) is the source of this 1197-nucleotide non-coding RNA. The record is from RefSeq and is a predicted model, not a curated record. NCBI's taxonomy places the organism in Eukaryota, Metazoa, Chordata, Actinopteri, Cyprinodontiformes, Poeciliidae.
UUUAUUUUAUUUAACAGAUCCACGUUUCUAUUUGUAACAUUCGUAACGGAGAGAAGAUUAUUCCGUAUUGCACGAAUGACGGAUAUCUCCUGACUAGAAGCGAUAUUUUCACACUGGGAUUAUCGAAAGACAUCAAUGGGCUGGUGAGUCUAAAUAUAUUUAGACUCACCAGUCUAAAUAUAUUUAGACUGGAGUUCAAAGGUUCUGAACUCCUGUCUGAAAGCCGUUGAGAGAAUAUGCAGCGACAAGGGCAUCAAGGUUUUUGCAGGAAACAGUCAUGUAGUACAAACCUGGUUUCCACCUCUAUCCCUUGACCCAGCACUACAUCUCCCACCGCAAGCACAAGAUCUGGACUGGGUUCUGAUACCUGUGUGGCGUCCUGGACAUUGGACACUUUGCGUUAGUACAGUACUUAUUUGAUAUUUACCUUCAUAUUUCCUGCAUUUCAAAGACACUUGUUUAGUUCCUUUAUUACUCUGCAGUAGUGUUCACCAUCACUGUACUGUGCCAUAUUUUUUUCAGAUUUUGAAGCCUAAGCACAGGGAGAUUUUCUUUCUUGAUUCUAUCAGUGGCAGUGGGUUCUUGGAUGAAAACCAAAUCAAAAGAUUAAAGUUUUAUAGGAWUAAGUUUGAAAGAGGCAUUUAGAACAAUGGAACCUUUGUUCCAUUGUUCCACGGAGUCAAAGGUUCAGCAUUAAUCUUCAUAUUUAUGUAACAAUAAAUAUCCAAAUUGAAUUUGUGAAUACAUUUUAAUGCCCGGAAUCACGAAAAACACACAUUUUGUAGGCAGUCUACUUUAAACAUGAAAUGGGUUAAAGCUGAACCAUUGAGAGACUGUUAUGUCUCGCAUCUUUCUUGCAUCAUACAUGUGUAUAAGUUUUUAUUUUGAUACGUUGUGUUGUGAAACAUGCCCUUGUUAAUUUUUUCUUUAAAAACUUUGUAUCAUCAGGGAAGUCUGUUAUCAGAUGUCAUCUGGACCAUGGACAGAAUUUGUUGGCAAUGACAUUAAGGGAUUGCCUAAACAAGGACUGUCCAACAACUGUGGAAUGUUUGUAGUGAUGGUAACAUCCACUUCCUCCCACCAUUUUGUUGUAUUGUUUGUAUAGACAUAAUCACAUUUUUCUCCACAGUAUGCUCUCUACUUUGGGAUGGAAGCACCAUUUGAUUUCACGGAGGUAAGGAAACAGAUAAGACUGCA